CCUACGGGAGGCAGCAGUGAGGAAUAUUGGUCAAUGGCCGCAGGGCUGAACCAGCCAAGUCGCGUGAGGGAUGACGGUCCUAUGGAUUGUAAACCUCUUUUGUCAGGGAGCAAAGGGCGCCACGUGUGGCGCUUUGCGAGUACCUGAAGAAAAAGCAUCGGCUAACUCCGUGCCAGCAGCCGCGGUAAUACGGAGGAUGCGAGCGUUAUCCGGAUUUAUUGGGUUUAAAGGGUGCGCAGGCGGAAUGUCAAGUCAGCGGUAAAAUUUCGGGGCUCAACCCCGUCGUGCCGUUGAAACUGGCGUUCUUGAGUGAGCGAGAAGUAUGCGGAAUGCGUGGUGUAGCGGUGAAAUGCAUAGAUAUCACGCAGAACUCCGAUUGAGAAGGCAGCAUACCGGCGCUCAACUGACGCUCAUGCACGAAAGCGUGGGUAUCGAACAGGAUUAGAUACCCCAGUAGUC
This 459-nucleotide ribosomal RNA is filed under the name uncultured bacterium. RNAcentral's name for it is "partial 16S ribosomal RNA". It matches the Rfam family "Bacterial small subunit ribosomal RNA", at positions 338 to 795 of the family's 1533-position model. The record is from RNAcentral.